RNAcentral lists this ribosomal RNA (427 nucleotides) under uncultured bacterium. RNAcentral's name for it is "partial 16S ribosomal RNA". It matches the Rfam family "Bacterial small subunit ribosomal RNA", at positions 355 to 774 of the family's 1533-position model. The record is from RNAcentral.
UGGGGAAUAUUGCACAAUGGGCGCAAGCCUGAUGCAGCCAUGCCGCGUGUAUGAAGAAGGCCUUCGGGUUGUAAAGUACUUUCAGCGGGGAGGAAGGGAGUAAAGUUAAUACCUUUGCUCAUUGACGUUACCCGCAGAAGAAGCACCGGCUAACUCCGUGCCAGCAGCCGCGGUAAUACGGAGGGUGCAAGCGUUAAUCGGAAUUACUGGGCGUAAAGCGCACGCAGGCGGUUUGUUAAGUCAGAUGUGAAAUCCCCGGGCUCAACCUGGGAACUGCAUCUGAUACUGGCAAGCUUGAGUCUCGUAGAGGGGGGUAGAAUUCCAGGUGUAGCGGUGAAAUGCGUAGAGAUCUGGAGGAAUACCGGUGGCGAAGGCGGCCCCCUGGACGAAGACUGACGCUGAGGUGCGAAAGCGUGGGGAGCAAACA